UAGGGAAUCUUCCACAAUGGGCGAAGCCNGAUGGAGCAACGCCGCGUGUGUGAUGAAGGUUUCGGCUCGUAAAACUCUGUUGUUAAAGAAGAACAUAUCUGAGAGUAACUGUUCAGGUAUUGACGGUAUUUAACCAGAAAGCCACGGCUAACUACGUGCCAG
RNAcentral lists this ribosomal RNA (162 nucleotides) under uncultured bacterium. Its description in RNAcentral is "partial 16S ribosomal RNA". It matches the Rfam family "Bacterial small subunit ribosomal RNA", at positions 355 to 511 of the family's 1533-position model. The record is from RNAcentral.